RNAcentral lists this ribosomal RNA (406 nucleotides) under uncultured bacterium. RNAcentral's name for it is "partial 16S ribosomal RNA". It matches the Rfam family "Bacterial small subunit ribosomal RNA", at positions 30 to 526 of the family's 1533-position model. The record is from RNAcentral.
AUUGAACGCUGGCGGCAGGCCUAACACAUGCAAGUCGAACGAGUGGCGGACGGGUGAGUAAUGCCUAGGAAUCUGCCUGGUAGUGGGGGAUAACGUCCGGAAACGGGCGCUAAUACCGCCUACCCUCCGAUGUGCCCAGAUGGGAGUAGCUUGGUGGUGGGGUAACGGCUCACCAAGGCGACGAUCCCUAGCUGGUCUGCGAGGAUGACCAGCCACACUGGAACUGAGACACGGGCCAGACUCCUACGGGAGGCAGCAGUGGGGAAUAUUGCACAAUGGGCGCAAUCCUGAUGCAGCCAUGCCGCGUGUAUGAAGAAGGCCUUCGGGUUGUAAAGUACUUUCAGCGGGGAGGCGUUACCCGCAGAAGAAGCACCGGCUAACUCCGUGCCAGCAGCCGCGGUAAUUC